AUACGUAGGUGACAAGCGUUAUCCGGAUUUACUGGGCGUAAAGGGCGUGUAGGCGGUCUUGCAAGUCAGAAGUGAAAUUCCUGAGCUCAACUCGGGCGCUGCUUCUGAAACUGCAAGACUUGAGUGCUGGAGGGGAUAGCGGAAUUCCCGGUGUAGCGGUGAAAUGCGUAGAGAUCGGGAGGAACACCAGUGGCGAAGGCGGGUAACUGGACUGCAACUGACGCUGAGGCGCGAAAGUGUGGGGAGCAAACAGGAUUAGAUACCCUGGUAGUCCACACUGUAAACGAUGAAUGCUAGGUGUAGGAGGUAUCGACCCCUUCUGUGCCGCAGUAAACACAGUAAGCAUUCCGCCUGGGGAGUACGGUCGCAAGAUUAAAACUCAAAGGAAUUGACGGGG
RNAcentral lists this ribosomal RNA (397 nucleotides) under uncultured bacterium. RNAcentral's name for it is "partial 16S ribosomal RNA". It matches the Rfam family "Bacterial small subunit ribosomal RNA", at positions 523 to 918 of the family's 1533-position model. The record is from RNAcentral.